UACGUAGGGUGCGAGCGUUGUCCGGAAUUAUUGGGCGUAAAGAGCUCGUAGGCGGUGUGUCACGUCGGCCGUGAAAACCUGCAGCUUAACUGUGGGCGUGCGGUCGAUACGGGCAUCACUGGAGUUCGGCAGGGGAGACUGGAAUUCCCGGUGUAGCGGUGAAAUGCGCAGAUAUCGGGAGGAACACCGGUGGCGAAGGCGGUUCUCUGGGCCUGUACUGACGCUGAGGAGCGAAAGCGUGGGGAGCAAACAGG
RNAcentral lists this ribosomal RNA (254 nucleotides) under uncultured bacterium. RNAcentral's name for it is "partial 16S ribosomal RNA". It matches the Rfam family "Bacterial small subunit ribosomal RNA", at positions 524 to 776 of the family's 1533-position model. The record is from RNAcentral.